RNAcentral lists this ribosomal RNA (497 nucleotides) under uncultured bacterium. Its description in RNAcentral is "partial 16S ribosomal RNA". It matches the Rfam family "Bacterial small subunit ribosomal RNA", at positions 28 to 507 of the family's 1533-position model. The record is from RNAcentral.
GAUGAACGCUGGCGGCGUGCCUAAUACAUGCAAGUCGAGCGAGCAGACGAGGAGCUUGCUCCUCUGACGUUAGCGGCGGACGGGUGAGUAACACGUGGAUAACCUACCUAUAAGACUGGGAUAACUUCGGGAAACCGGAGCUAAUACCGGAUAAUAUAUUGAACCGCAUGGUUCAAUAGUGAAAGACGGUUUUGCUGUCACUUAUAGAUGGAUCCGCGCCGCAUUAGCUAGUUGGUAAGGUAACGGCUUACCAAGGCAACGAUGCGUAGCCGACCUGAGAGGGUGAUCCGCCACACUGGAACUGAGACACGGUCCAGACUCCUACGGGAGGCAGCAGUAGGGAAUCUUCCGCAAUGGGCGAAAGCCUGACGGAGCAACGCCGCGUGAGUGAUGAAGGUCUUCGGAUCGUAAAACUCUGUUAUUAGGGAAGAACAAAUGUGUAAGUAACUAUGCACGUCUUGACGGUACCUAAUCAGAAAGCCACGGCUAACUACGUG